GACGAACGCUGGCGGCGUGCUUAACACAUGCAAGUCGAACGGAAAGGCCCUGCUUUUGUGGGGUGCUCGAGUGGCGAACGGGUGAGUAACACGUGAGUAACCUGCCCUUGACUUUGGGAUAACUUCAGGAAACUGGGGCUAAUACCGGAUAGGAGCUCCUGCUGCAUGGUGGGGGUUGGAAAGUUUCGGCGGUUGGGGAUGGACUCGCGGCUUAUCAGCUUGUUGGUGGGGUAGUGGCUUACCAAGGCUUUGACGGGUAGCCGGCCUGAGAGGGUGACCGGCCACAUUGGGACUGAGAUACGGGCCAGACUGCUACGGGAGGCAGCAGUGGGGAAUAUUGCACAAUGGGCGGAAGCCUGAUGCAGCAACGCCGCGUGCGGGAUGACGGCCUUCGGGUUGUAACCCGCUUUCGCCUGUGACGAAGCGUGAGUGACGGUAAUGGGUAAAGAAGCACCGGCUAACUACGUG
This 468-nucleotide ribosomal RNA is filed under the name uncultured bacterium. RNAcentral's name for it is "partial 16S ribosomal RNA". It matches the Rfam family "Bacterial small subunit ribosomal RNA", at positions 28 to 507 of the family's 1533-position model. The record is from RNAcentral.